GUGGCCUUUGGUUCUCUUUCCCUUCACCCCCACUCCACCCUGCUGGAGGAAAGGACCUCAUAAAUGCCUCGCUGCAUCUGGCGGAUUGGCUUAUGGCAGCGAACUUAUCCUGAAAAGAAGACUUGGCUGUGGGAAUUAGCUCCAGACUUGCAGAUAAAAUACCUCUUCUGCUACAUCUUGUCACGAGUGGAGGCUGAGAGGCAGCUGAGAGGAGGUUGUGCAUGAAUGGUUUGAAGGACAACAGUCUGCUGGAUGAAUAUCUAAGAUCUAUUGCUGCGAGAACUUUGCGCAAGGAUGAAAAUGUUCUGCAUCGGUGCUCACACAGCAGCGCUUAUUGAGCACUUGAAGUAAGGCAGUGCAGUGCAACAAUGGACCUGUAGAAUGUACUUCAUCUCAAGUAGAUCAGAAAGUCACAAGUGGCUGUCUGAUUGGACAGCGCUCAUCCAAGGGCCAUUUACAGGGGAAAUGGAAUUGGUCUCAAGGCAAAAUGCAGA
This is a long non-coding RNA of Ochotona princeps (American pika), 494 nucleotides long. RefSeq lists it as uncharacterized. Lineage: Eukaryota; Metazoa; Chordata; Mammalia; Lagomorpha; Ochotonidae. The transcript is spliced from 3 exons. The record is from RefSeq and is a predicted model, not a curated record.